This 253-nucleotide ribosomal RNA is filed under the name uncultured bacterium. RNAcentral's name for it is "partial 16S ribosomal RNA". It matches the Rfam family "Bacterial small subunit ribosomal RNA", at positions 524 to 776 of the family's 1533-position model. The record is from RNAcentral.
UACGUAGGUGGCAAGCGUUGUCCGGAUUUACUGGGCGUAAAGAGCGCGCAGGCGGUCGUUCAAGUCGCGUGUGAAAGCCCCCGGCUCAACUGGGGAGGGUCACGCGAUACUGAUCGACUCGAAGGCAGGAGAGGGAAGUGGAAUUCCCGGUGUAGUGGUUAAAUGCGUAGAUAUCGGGAGGAACACCAGUGGCGAAGGCGGCACUCUGGGCCGAUACUGACGCUGAGGAGCGAAAGCGUGGGGAGCGAACAGG